Molecule: ribosomal RNA, 457 nt
Filed under: uncultured bacterium
Lineage: Bacteria
Description: partial 16S ribosomal RNA
Rfam family: Bacterial small subunit ribosomal RNA
Source: RNAcentral
CCUACGGGUGGCUGCAGUGGGGAAUAUUGCACAAUGGGGGAAACCCUGAUGCAGCGACGCCGCGUGAGUGAAGCAGUAUUUUGGUAUGUAAAGCCCUAUCAGCAGGGAAGAAAUAAAGACCUUCGGACUUUGGACGGUACCUGACUAAUAAGCCCCGGCUAACUACGUGCCAGCAGCCGCGGUAAUACGUAGGGGGCAAGCGUUAUCCGGAUUUACCGGGGGUAAAGGGAGCGUAGACGGCAGCGCAAGUCUGGAGUGAAAUCCCAUGGCUUAACCAUGGAACGGCUUUUGAAACUGUGCAGGUAGAGUGCAGGAGGGGGAAGCGGAAUUCCUGGUGUAGCGGUGAAAUGCGUAGAUAUUAGGAGGAACACCAGUGGCGAAGGCGGGUUACUGGACUUUAACUGACGUUGAGGCACGAAAGCGUGGGGAGCGAACGGGAUUAGAUACCCGAGUAGUC